UGUAUCCUCAGGAGUUUGCACCUUAUCUGCCUAACACAGAUUGGAGGUUCAAGAAAUACUGUAUCUGGAGUUCCUGUCGUGGUGGAGUUCCUGUCGUGGCGCAGUGGUUAACGAAUCUGACUAGGAACCAUGAGGUCGCGGGUUCGGUCCCUGCCCUUGCUCAGUGGGUUAACGAUCCGGCGUUGCCGUGAGCUGUGGUGUAGGUUGCAGACGCGGCUCGGAUCCUGCAUUGCUGUGGCUCUGGCGUAGGCCAGUGGCUACAGCUCCGAUUCCACCCCUAGCCUGGGAACCUCCAUAUGCUGCGGGAGCAGCCCAAAGAAAUAGCAAAAAAUAAAAAAAAUAAAUAAAAAAUAAAAAAAUACUGUAUCUAUAAGACAGAGACAGAGAGGGCCCGUUGUGUCUCAGUGGGUUAAGAACCUGACUCAUACCCAUGAGGAUGCAGGUUCGAUCCCUGGCCUCACUCAUUGGGUUAAGGAUCUGGCUUUGCUGCCAGCUGUGGCUUAGGUCUCCGAUGUGGCUCAGAUUUGGCAUUGCUGUGGCUGUGCUGUGGCUGUAGCUCCAAUUCAACCUCUAGCCUGGGAACUUCCAUGUGCUGUGAGUGUGGCCCUAAAAAAGACGCCCCCCCCCAAAAAAAAAGAGAGAUGGGAGGAAGGGAGGAAGGAAGGAGGAAAGAAAGGGAGAGAAGAGAAGAAGGGGAGGAAAGAGAAGGAAUGAAUGAAUGAUGGAAGGAAGGAGCCUUUUUAACUUUCCGCCACUCUGAGAUUUCCAUCUCCAACUUGCAGGGACUUGCUUGAGGAAACUACCAGGUGACUUGAGUCAAGAGGCUUUAAAGACAUUUGGCGUAUUUCUAACAGUGUCAUGUUGGAGAAGGUUCUUUAGAAGGUUCUCCAGCCCAUUUGGGAAACUCCACGUAGCCCAUCAACCUCCCGCCAUCAAUCGCACCAACUAUAAAUUUCAUCCUGGGAAGGAAAUGUGCCUUGAGGGUUUCAUUCAUCUUCUAUGCCAGGUAACAAAUUGCUACAAAAGUAGUGACUUCAAACAACACACGUUUAUUAGCUCACAGUGCUUCAG
RNAcentral lists this long non-coding RNA (1071 nucleotides) under Sus scrofa (pig). RNAcentral describes it as "lncRNA (ENSSSCG00005004844.1)". The record is from RNAcentral. Lineage: Eukaryota; Metazoa; Chordata; Mammalia; Artiodactyla; Suidae.